RNAcentral lists this ribosomal RNA (490 nucleotides) under uncultured bacterium. Its description in RNAcentral is "partial 16S ribosomal RNA". It matches the Rfam family "Bacterial small subunit ribosomal RNA", at positions 30 to 507 of the family's 1533-position model. The record is from RNAcentral.
AUUGAACGCUGGCGGCAGGCCUAACACAUGCAAGUCGAAUGGUAACAGGAAACAGCUUGCUGUUUCGCUGACGAGUGGCGGACGGGUGAGUAAUGUCUGGGAAACUGCCUGAUGGAGGGGGAUAACUACUGGAAACGGUAGCUAAUACCGCAUAACGUCGCAAGACCAAAGGGGGGGACCUUCGGGCCUCUUGCCAUCAGAUGUGCCCAGAUGGGAUUAGCUAGUAGGUGGGGUAACGGCUCACCUAGGCGACGAUCCCUAGCUGGUCUGAGAGGAUGACCAGCCACACUGGAACUGAGACACGGUCCAGACUCCUACGGGAGGCAGCAGUGGGGAAUAUUGCACAAUGGGCGCAAGCCUGAUGCAGCCAUGCCGCGUGUAUGAAGAAGGCCUUCGGGUUGUAAAGUACUUUCAGCGGGGAGGAAGGGAGUAAAGUUAAUACCUUUGCUCAUUGACGUUACCCGCAGAAGAAGCACCGGCUAACUCCGUG